GACGUAGGGUGCAAGCGUUGUCCGGAAUUAUUGGGCGUAAAGAGUUCGUAGGCGGUUACUUAAGUCUGGUGUUAAAUACGGGAGCUCAACUCCCGCAUGGCAUUGGAAACUGGGUAGCUAGAGUACGGUAGAGGUCUCGGGAAUUCCAGGUGUAGCGGUGAAAUGCGUAGAUAUCGGAAAGAACACCAACGGCGAAAGCACUCUGCUGGGCCGACACUGACACUGAGAGACGAAAGCUAGGGGAGCGAAUGGG
RNAcentral lists this ribosomal RNA (253 nucleotides) under uncultured bacterium. RNAcentral's name for it is "partial 16S ribosomal RNA". It matches the Rfam family "Bacterial small subunit ribosomal RNA", at positions 524 to 776 of the family's 1533-position model. The record is from RNAcentral.